GGCGGCCCCCUGGGUGAAGACUGACGCUGAGGUACGAAAGCGUGGGGAGCGAACAGGAUUAGAUACCCUGGUAGUCCAGGCUGUAAACGAUGUCGAUUUGAAGGUUGUGGUCUAUGAAUUAUGGCUUUCGGAGCUAACGUGUUAAAUCGACCGCCUGGGGAGUACGGCCGCAAGGUUAAAACUCAAAUGAAUUGACAGGGGCCCGCACAAGCGGUGGAGCAUGUGGUUUAAUUCGAUNCAACGCGAAGAACCUUACCUACCCUUGACAUCCAAAGAACUGUAUAGAGAUAUACA
RNAcentral lists this ribosomal RNA (294 nucleotides) under uncultured bacterium. RNAcentral's name for it is "partial 16S ribosomal RNA". It matches the Rfam family "Bacterial small subunit ribosomal RNA", at positions 720 to 1012 of the family's 1533-position model. The record is from RNAcentral.